AUUCGUUAGAUGAAUGUGAGGCGUUGGGUCGAUUUCACCCAAUCCAAGCCCCACAUUCAUCAGAGGUUCGU
This 71-nucleotide microRNA precursor is filed under the name Nicotiana sylvestris (wood tobacco). RNAcentral's name for it is "MIR6151 microRNA precursor family". It matches the Rfam family "MIR6151 microRNA precursor family". Lineage: Eukaryota; Viridiplantae; Streptophyta; Magnoliopsida; Solanales; Solanaceae. RNAcentral also lists the same sequence under 1 other name. The record is from Rfam by way of RNAcentral.